This 493-nucleotide ribosomal RNA is filed under the name uncultured bacterium. RNAcentral describes it as "partial 16S ribosomal RNA". It matches the Rfam family "Bacterial small subunit ribosomal RNA", at positions 29 to 523 of the family's 1533-position model. The record is from RNAcentral.
AACGAACGCUGGCGGCAUGCCUUACACAUGCAAGUCGAACGGUAACAGGUUAAGCUGACGAGUGGCGAACGGGUGAGUAAUAUAUCGGAACGUGCCCAGUCGUGGGGGAUAACGCAGCGAAAGCUGUGCUAAUACCGCAUACGAUCUACGGAUGAAAGCGGGGGAUCGCAAGACCUCGCGCGAUUGGAGCGGCCGAUAUCAGAUUAGCUAGUUGGUGAGGUAAAGGCUCACCAAGGCGACGAUCUGUAGCUGGUCUGAGAGGACGACCAGCCACACUGGAACUGAGACACGGUCCAGACUCCUACGGGAGGCAGCAGUGGGGAAUUUUGGACAAUGGGCGCAAGCCUGAUCCAGCAAUGCCGCGUGCAGGAUGAAGGCCUUCGGGUUGUAAACUGCUUUUGUACGGAACGAAACGGCGAGCUCUAAUACAGUUUGCUAAUGACGGUACCGUAAGAAUAAGCACCGGCUAACUACGUGCCAGCCGCCGCGGUAA